This 1115-nucleotide long non-coding RNA is filed under the name Marmota monax (woodchuck). The record is from RNAcentral. Lineage: Eukaryota; Metazoa; Chordata; Mammalia; Rodentia; Sciuridae.
GGAAGGGCCACUUCCCUUGGUGUCCUGGGGCUGAGGCUGGGAUCUGAAUUAUCUGUGCCAGUGCAUUGUGGCCUGGCCUGGCCGGGCCUCAAUCGCUGCAUUGCAGAAACUCGCUCCAAACGGUGGUAUUUUGCAAGCCAUGGGCCACAGCAGGGAGGAGAACACUGCCAUCUCCAGAGGCCUGGGUCUUCCUCUGCCCCUGCUCAGCAAGACACGGUCCACUGUGGCCCCCAGCGCAGACACAGGUUUUCUGUUUGUUUGUUUGUAUUUUUGGAUCCAAGUCUGUGUUCAGAUUUGGAAGGCAGCCUCCGAUGGACGGGCCUUUCUUUAUUUGGGACCUCGGUUUCCUCAUCUGCAAAAUGGGAGGUCUGAAGUGAAGACCCUUCAGAGAAGUGCCCCUUCUCCCAACCCAUGGUGAGAGGUAGCCUUCAACAGGGAUUUGGGAACCCAAAGACUCUAUGUCCUUUCUUGACCCCAGAGGCUGGGCAAGUCGGGCACCAAUCUGCACCUCGGUCUCUCCCCCGCACACACACCCUGCUGAAAAAGCAAGAGGUGUAAGCAGCCCCGGUUCCCAGAGCCUUGUGUGUCUGUGAGAGCUGUCAAUCAGGCUUAGACACUGGGGUCAAGAGGGACCCGUGAACUCAGGAGAUGGUGCCACCCCAGCUGAGCACCGGUCAUUUUCCUGUGCAGUUCAUGGAGGCUGGUCUCCAACUUGCAAUCCUCCUGCCUCAGCCUCCUGAGCUGCUGGGAUGACAGGCGUGGGCCAUUAUGUCCUGCCAGAUUCAUGGUUCAUGGAGAUGAGAGGAGAGUCGGUCCCUCCUCUUGACUGCACAGGCAUUACAGAGCCGGGUAACACUGGGAAGAGGACAUGGGUACUACAGCAGAGUGGAGUAUCUCCUGGAAGUGCUACCAGGAGACACUCUGGUACCUGGCACAUGUCCAUGGGCCAUGCCCAGCCUUGCUCUCUCUGCCCAGUCCUAGGAGAGGUCAAGGUACUUUCUCAAGAACAUACUAUGGCCAGGUGUGGUGGCCCACACCUAUAAUUCCAGUAACACAGGAGGCUGAGGCAGGAGGAUUGCAAGUUGGAGGCCAGCCUCAGCAACCCUUAGCAAGGC